This 435-nucleotide ribosomal RNA is filed under the name uncultured bacterium. RNAcentral describes it as "bacterial SSU rRNA". It matches the Rfam family "Bacterial small subunit ribosomal RNA", at positions 57 to 518 of the family's 1533-position model. The record is from RNAcentral.
GCAAGUCGAGCGAUUCACUUCGGUGAAGAGCGGCGGACGGGUGAGUAACGCGUGGGUAACCUGCCUCAUACACAUGGAUAACAUACCGAAAGGUAUAGCUAAUACAGGAUAAUAUAAGAGAUUCACAUGUAUUCUUAUCAAAGCUCCGGCGGUAUGAGAUGGACCCGCGUCUGAUUAGCUAGUUGGUAAGGUAACGGCUUACCAAGGCGACGAUCAGUAGCCGACCUGAGAGGGUGAUCGGCCACAUUGGAACUGAGACACGGUCCAAACUCCUACGGGAGGCAGCAGUGGGGAAUAUUGCACAAUGGGCGAAAGCCUGAUGCCAGCAACGCCGCGUGAGUGAUGAAGGCCUUCGGGUCGUAAAACUCUGUCCUCAAGGAAGAUAAUGACGGUACUUGAGGAGGAAGCCCCGGCUAACUACGUGCCAGCCGCAGC